CUUGGUCAUUUAGAGGAAGUAAAAGUCGUAACAAGGUUUCCGUAGGUGAACCUGCGGAAGGAUCAUUACUGUGAUUUACUACUACACUGCGUGAGCGGAACGAAAACAACAACACCUAAAAUGUGGAAUAUAGCAUAUAGUCGACAAGAGAAAUCUACGAAAAACAAACAAAACUUUCAACAACGGAUCUCUUGGUUCUCGCAUCGAUGAAGAGCGCAGCGAAAUGCGAUACCUAGUGUGAAUUGCAGCCAUCGUGAAUCAUCGAGUUCUUGAACGCACAUUGCGCCCCUCGGCAUUCCGGGGGGCAUGCCUGUUUGAGCGUCGUUUCCAUCUUGUGCGUGCGCAGAGUUGGGGGAGCGGAGCGGACGACGUGUAAAGAGCGUCGGAGCUGCGACUCGCCUGAAAGGGAGCGAAGCUGGCCGAGCGAACUAGACUUUUUUCAGGGACGCUUGGCGGCCGAGAGCGAGUGUUGCGAGACAACAAAAAGCUCGACCUCAAAUCAGGUAGGAAUACCCGCUGAACUUAAGCAUAUCAAUAAGCGGAGGAA
This 547-nucleotide ribosomal RNA is filed under the name Pichia kudriavzevii. Its description in RNAcentral is "eukaryotic LSU rRNA". The stretch from base 172 to 324 matches the Rfam family "5.8S ribosomal RNA". Lineage: Eukaryota; Fungi; Ascomycota; Pichiomycetes; Pichiales; Pichiaceae. The record is from RNAcentral.